UUCCUACGGGAGGCAGCAGUGAGGAAUAUUGGUCAAUGGGCGGGAGCCUGAACCAGCCAAGUCGCGUGAGGGACGACGGUCCUAUGGAUUGUAAACCUCUUUUGUCGGGGAACAAAGGCGCCCACGGGUGGGCGGAUGAGUGUACCCGAAGAAAAAGCAUCGGCUAACUCCGUGCCAGCAGCCGCGGUAAUACGGAGGAUGCGAGCGUUAUCCGGAUUUAUUGGGUGUAAAGGGAGCGUAGACGGUUACGCAAGUCUGGAGUGAAAGGCGGGGGCCCAACCCCCGGACUGCUUUGGAAACUGUAU
RNAcentral lists this ribosomal RNA (305 nucleotides) under uncultured bacterium. RNAcentral's name for it is "bacterial SSU rRNA". It matches the Rfam family "Bacterial small subunit ribosomal RNA", at positions 336 to 638 of the family's 1533-position model. The record is from RNAcentral.